Long non-coding RNA from Bos taurus (domestic cattle), 1636 nucleotides. NCBI's taxonomy places the organism in Eukaryota, Metazoa, Chordata, Mammalia, Artiodactyla, Bovidae. The record is from Ensembl.
GUAGGACCUCAGUCCUACAACUGAGGGAAUGAAUUCUGCCAACAAUCUGAAUGUGCAAGGACACAGAUUUUCCCCUAGAACUUCUGGAAGGGAACACAGAGCAGCCAGCAAUUAGAUGUUAGCCAGUGUUGGACUUCUGACCUAUGGAACCGUAAGAUGACCAACUGCCUUGUUUAAAACCACUAAAACAAGCUGCAGGAGGACAUGGCCAUCUUCUUUCUGGUCCUUGCUUGCCUCACUGAGAGGAAGGAUGGUGACCUAACUGGCAUGGAGAGGUUCACCUUGAAGACCAAGAGGCAAGUUCUGAAGGGACAAAGCCACGAUUCCUUCCCUGCUGCUCAGCCCUUGCCUUCCAGCGGCUCACACUCUCUCUGAUCCUCAGUGCUAGUGAGGAAGAUAACUACAACACUGUUUAACAACAGAGUGAAGGCACUUGACUUUUAUCGGCACCUGAUCUCACCACUGGAGUGCAUCCAUCCCUGGGAAUCCCAGGUUGCCAGGGGACUAUCUGUGCAGUUCAAGACUUUGGCACAGAGAAUAUGAAUGGAUGAAGGGAGCAAAAGCCCCAGCCUCCAGAUAUCUGCCUGGAACACUCUUCCACAUUGACACAAGUUUCCCUCCCAUUCUCCAUUUGGGUCUUUGGAUCAAAUAUUACCUCAUUAGAACUGCCUUCAGACUGGGGGCAAGAGGAACCCCCUACCUUGUCUUCUGAGCUCUCCAGUCCUCUUCCAGCCAUGCCCCUUUCCACAGAGUUAGAAGCCCAUGGGUCAAGGGGAUGUGCCCACCCAAAGCUCCUGUGCCUCACCUCUUCUUAGAUCAUACAGGGAGUACCCGAGACCCUAGAACUCCCAUUCCAAGAGUACCAGGCCAACUUCCAGAGACUACAUCAGCCUUUUCCUCAAGGUCUAUUCUCUUGAGGAACCAAGGAUGGGCUAUUUGCUAAAGGUAUGGCUGGAGCUCAGAUAUGCAGACAGGGAUGUUAUAGGUGCAGGCACAAAGUCCCAUGAAGAGUGGGACAGAGCUGGGGUGCAAAGAACGGGAGGAAGUUUGAGGGCCAGGGACCAGUUACCACCCAAGAAGCCCCAUUCCAGUGUACAUCUUAGGGGGAGUCUGAGAAUCCUAAACUUAAGUUUGGCCUUCCAGAUUUUUGUGACUGUGUACUUGUCAAGAUGAAAGGACAGGAUUUCUACCUAAGUUUAGACUGGCUUAUAAUUUUAAAUUAGGUAGAUAUACGUGUGGGGCUUCCCAGGUGCUCAGUGGUAAACAAUUCGCCUGCCAAUGUAGGAGACAUGAGUUUGAUCCCUGGGUCGGGAAGAUCACCUGGAGAAGGAAAUGGCUACCCACUCUAGUAUUCUUGCCUGGGAAAUCCCAUGGACAGAGGAGCCUGGAGGGCUGCAGUCCAUGGGGGUCGCAAAGAGUCGGAUGUGACCUAAUGACUGAGCACACACACAUGAUAUGUUUAUCUCCAUUUGCACUGUUUGCCCUGGCCCUGUAAAUAUCAGGGAUGGGUCUAUCCCUGACCUCCCUAUCUAAAAUAAAAUACCACUUCCUCUGUCAAAUAAAAUACCACUUCCUCUGUCACUUUAUUCUUACUUCAUCGUACAUUUCUUCAGAACCUUUGUCAACACAGGAUCUA